UGGGGAAUUUUGGGCAAUGGGCGAAAGCCUGACCCAGCAACGCCGCGUGAAGGAUGAAGUAUUUCGGUAUGUAAACUUCGAAAGAAUAGGAAGAAUAAAUGACGGUACUAUUUAUAAGGUCCGGCUAACUACGUGCCAGCAGCCGCGGUAAUACGUAGGGACCAAGCGUUGUUCGGAUUUACUGGGCGUAAAGGGCGCGUAGGCGGCAAUUCAAGUCAUCUGUGAAAUCUCCGGGCUUAACUCGGAACGGUCAGAUGAUACUGCUUUGCUAGAGUGCAGAAGGGGCAAUCGGAAUUCUUGGUGUAGCGGUGAAAUGCGUAGAUAUCAAGAGGAACACCUGAGGUGAAGACGGGUUGCUGGGCUGACACUGACGCUGAGGCGCGAAAGCCAGGGGAGCAAACGGGAUUAGAUACCCAAGUAGUCCCUG
This 427-nucleotide ribosomal RNA is filed under the name uncultured bacterium. RNAcentral's name for it is "bacterial SSU rRNA". It matches the Rfam family "Bacterial small subunit ribosomal RNA", at positions 355 to 799 of the family's 1533-position model. The record is from RNAcentral.